Long non-coding RNA from Triticum aestivum (bread wheat), 1751 nucleotides. RefSeq lists it as uncharacterized. Lineage: Eukaryota; Viridiplantae; Streptophyta; Magnoliopsida; Poales; Poaceae. The record is from RefSeq and is a predicted model, not a curated record. The transcript is spliced from 7 exons.
GAAGCUUGAACAAAUAGUUUACUUUUUCUCAUGUCUUUGAUUAGUUUCAUCCUAUCUAUGUCUAUUUCUUGUGUGCAAGCACUCCAAUGUGUCUGUGUGACUGUGUGUGACUGACUGUUUGUGUCUGUGUGACUGAUUAUGUGUGUUUCUUUGUCUGUUUCUUGUGUGCAAGCGCUCCAUUGUGUUUGUGCGUGUGUGUUGACUGUGUCUGCGUGUGUGACUGAUUGUGUGUGUGUUUCUUUGUCUGUUUCUUGUGGGCAAGCGCUCCAUUGUGUUUGUGCGUGUGUGUUGACUCUGUCUGUGUGUCAUUUUAUGACUGACUGUGUAUUGAUGUGACUCUGUGUAUGUGUGUGUGUGUGUGUGUGUGUUGACUGUGACUGUGUGUCAUUGUGCAAGCGCUCCAUAACUACUUAUUGGCACCUGAUAAUGCAUGCAAAUUUCUAUAAGGUCAUGGGCAUGUAAUUUUAUGACCUACGUACCUCUGUAGUUGGUAGUAUCAUUGCCCUUUGGACACCCUUCAAUGCAUUGCUGUAUAUUUUCCUGCCACAAGUAUGAUGUUUGUGCUCAGAAUGAUGUAUAUGAUUUCUUAUGGUUCUGAUGGUGUGCUUCUUGUGUUUGAACUGAAGUCGUGGAUCACUCAUCAACCUGGUCUGUGUUUGUAUGGUAACCCCUCUCGAAUUUAACUCCUUUCAAGUUCGUACACAAUAUUUAUGCAUAUCCCACAUUUUAGCUAGUUAUAUAGUAACGCCAUACUUCUUUGGACAUUUUUCUGUAUAUGCAAGUGUGGUGAGCUCACAUAUUGUGUCAGUAUCUACCUACGCAGCUUAAUUAUUUCCGGAUAGGAUAGAGGUGCAAUGUUUACAUCCAUGGCCGAAGGUUCUUUAGCACUGAACUCAUCAAAGGUCCUUGGACUCGAGAGGAAGAUGACAAAAUAAACAAGUAUGGACUAACAAAAUGGUCUGGCUGCAAGGUCACUACCUGGACGUAUAGGCAAGCAAUGUUGGGAGAGGUCAGCAACCAGAACUUCCUGCUGCUGAUCCUGGGAUGCUCCCGAGCAUGUUCAAUUUAUCCGCCCUAGGACAGCCACUGCCAUGACACAGCAGGUUAUUACUCAGCACGCUCGGCGUGUUUACUUCGGUGGACUUCCUCCGAUCGCUAAUGAACAGACAGUUGCUCUAUUCUUCAACCAAGUUAUGGCUGCUAUCGGGGGAAACACAUUUGAUCUAGGUGGCAUAAUCAUCUGAAUCCGAACAUAUGGAACGAUGCUUGUACUACUGAGGAGGAACAUGCACUGGUUAAUGCCAUCAGGUAUAUGGGAAUAAAUGAGCAGAAAUAGCAAAAGUUAUUCCUGGAAGGUACUGCAUGUCAAACAACUUGCAUCAUGGCUCUUGCUUGUAGUAUUAGCUUUCUGUUUGUGCCCUUUCUAUCUCUUGUGUGUGUGACUGACUGUGUGUGACUAUGACUAUGUGUGACUGACUCUGUGUGACUGUUACUCUGUGUGACUGACUCUGUGUGACUGUUACUCUGUGUGACUGUAUGUGUGACUGACUCUGUGUGACUGUUACUGUGUGUGUGUGACUGUGACUGUGACUGUGUGUGACCGACUGUAUGUGUGUGUGUUUGAAUUAAUAUUGCAUUUGCUUGAUGGUGUGUGUGCUGUCUGCUUUGCUUGAUUGUGUGUCCUGUAUGCUUUGCUUGAUGGUGUGUCCUGAAUGCUUUGCUUGAUUGAUUGGUGUUGUAUGUUUUGUUUG